GCUCGUAGUUGAAUUUCUGGACUCGCCGAGAGGCGGCCUUUGGCCGACCACUCCGCAAGUUCAUCCUCGCCCUUCGGGGCGUCAUUUACUGUGAAAAAAUUAGAGUGUUUAAAGCAGGCUUUAGGCUUGAAUACAUUAGCAUGGAAUAAUGAGAUAGGACCAGGUCGUAUUUUGUUGGUUGCGCGAUUCGGUAAUGAUUAAUAGGGACAGUUGGGGGUAUUCAUAUUUAAUUGUCAGAGGUGAAAUUCUUAGAUUUAUUAAAGAUGAACUACUGCGAAAGCAUUUACCAAGGAUGUUUUCAUUAAUCAAGAACGAAAGUCAGGGGAUCGAAGAGGAUUAGAUACCCUCGUAGUCUUGACCAUAAACUAUGCCGACUCAGGAUUGGCACCCUUUUUUAACAGGGUGUCAGCACUGUAUGAAAAAUCAAAGUCUUUGGGUUCCGGGGGGAGUAUGGUCGCAAGGCUG
This 465-nucleotide ribosomal RNA is filed under the name eukaryotic picoplankton environmental sample. RNAcentral's name for it is "SSU rRNA". It matches the Rfam family "Eukaryotic small subunit ribosomal RNA", at positions 626 to 1139 of the family's 1831-position model. The record is from RNAcentral.